Molecule: ribosomal RNA, 253 nt
Filed under: uncultured bacterium
Lineage: Bacteria
Description: partial 16S ribosomal RNA
Rfam family: Bacterial small subunit ribosomal RNA
Source: RNAcentral
UACGGGGGGCGCGAGCGUUGUUCGGAAUCACUGGGCGUAAAGGGCGCGUAGGCGGCUGGGUAAGUCAGAGGUGAAAUGCCAGGGCUCAACCUUGGAAUUGCCUUUGAUACUGCCUGACUAGAGGACGGAAGAGGAUAGUGGAAUUCCUGGUGUAGCGGUGAAAUGCGUAGAUAUCAGGAAGAACACCGGUGGCGAAGGCGGCUAUCUGGUCCGUUACUGACGCUGAGGCGCGAAAGCCAGGGGAGCAAACGGG